CACGGACCGCACGAACGUUAUUCGGUAUCACUGGGCUUAAAGGGUGCGUAGGCGGCCUGGCAAGUUGGGUGUGAAAGCCCUCGGCUCAACCGAGGAAUUGCGCUCAAAACUGCCGGGCUCGAGAGAGACAGAGGUAAGCGGAACUAAUGGUGGAGCGGUGAAAUGCGUUGAUAUCAUUAGGAACACCGGUGGCGAAGGCGGCUUACUGGGUCUUUUCUGACGCUGAGGCACGAAAGCCAGGGGAGCGAACGGG
This 253-nucleotide ribosomal RNA is filed under the name uncultured bacterium. Its description in RNAcentral is "partial 16S ribosomal RNA". It matches the Rfam family "Bacterial small subunit ribosomal RNA", at positions 524 to 776 of the family's 1533-position model. The record is from RNAcentral.